GCCUCGAUAGUACAGUGGUUAGUACACCCGUCUGUCUGGCGGGAGACCGGGGUUCGAUUCCCCGUCGAGGUG
Molecule: non-coding RNA, 72 nt
Organism: Glossina brevipalpis
Lineage: Eukaryota; Metazoa; Arthropoda; Insecta; Diptera; Glossinidae
Source: Rfam